UUUAAGAAUCAACAGCCAUUGAUCUUCCAUUGUUUAUUUUGUUAUGUUAUAUCAGCAACAGCUCAAUAACCGUUGUAUUUAAGGAGUGGAACGUGCAAUUUCCUGUAAGUCAGACUGCCUCGUGGUCUCAGCAGACCAAAAAAAAAGGCGUUGCCCCGGUGGAAAGCGAGGGAGAUGCGCUGGAACAUUCACACUGACAUCUCUGCCCCAGGGAUAUGGUCCGAGGGCCAAAAACACCGGAGGUCUCUACUGCCGAAGGCUUGACCAUAAAGCUGUUGGAGAGUAAAGAUCUGUAAUUUCUUUUGGGUGUUUCUGGUGGAACAUGUCAGGAGGAAGAUUAUUAUAAAAAAUAUCGUUUACAUGUUGUCUAUUCAUCGUUUUUCGGGGGUGGGGGCAGUUUUACAAAUCAAAUUAUUGUAUCUACUUCUAUUUUGGCUUUCCAUAAACUCCAUAUAAAAAGAGUGGAUUCUGUGUGUGUGCAACAGAGUUGCAUACAAAAAUUUCAGAAUCCUGAAUAUAUCCAUGAUGUUCUGAGGUACAUUCUAUUUGAUGGCCUCACUUGUGGUUAUUCCGGUGACAUAUAGACGUUGAAUAGUUAUUACUUCCAAAGAAAAACCAUACACUGGAUAUCUUGUAUAACAAUUGUUGUAUUCAAAAUAAAAUGCAAAAUGGAUUAUUUUGUAGUAAUACUUCAUCACAUGAAACUAUUUUCUGCUCUUAGUGGCUCCUUGUUUAUAUUUAUAUGCAAACAUUUUAAUUAUUGUUUCCAAAUAAAAUCUCAGUUCAGGUUAUUGCGCUUUGCAGAUUGCGGACGCCUUUAGACAUGACUCCGUGAAAGAGAUGGAUUACAAAAAAUGCGCAGAGUUUCAAUGAUGAUCCAAACACUGUGCGAUUUCGAUUUGAAACUCAGCUGAAAAGUCAAGAAAGAUGAAGAACAGAACAGGCUUGCUGA
Octopus bimaculoides (California two-spot octopus) is the source of this 952-nucleotide long non-coding RNA. The record is from RefSeq and is a predicted model, not a curated record. NCBI's taxonomy places the organism in Eukaryota, Metazoa, Mollusca, Cephalopoda, Octopoda, Octopodidae.